RNAcentral lists this non-coding RNA (274 nucleotides) under uncultured Prevotella sp. The record is from RNAcentral. Lineage: Bacteria; Pseudomonadati; Bacteroidota; Bacteroidia; Bacteroidales; Prevotellaceae.
GAGGCUCAGAUUAAAAGGGAAUACGGUUGGAAUCCGUAGCAGUACCCGCUACUGUGUUGUUAUUGUGAGACGAAGCUCACAUUGUGGAGAUUGUCACGGUCAAAGGUCAAAAGUCAAAGGUCAAAGGUCAAAAGUCGAAAGUCGAAAGUCAAAAGACUAAAGACGAAGAGAGGCCUUUAGGGCAUUAGCCUUUUGUCUUUAGUCUUUAGCCAUAUUUUGAAUUGACGGGAAGGCACCACGUAAAACUAAGUCAGGAGACCUGCCAGAACUUAAU